UCCUGGCAGCCAUCUUGCUUACCAUGGGGAGGUUCCCCUUGUGAGGAAUGAUGUGUGGCCGAGACGAGCCCGUUUGAGAAAUGCAGGGUCAGAGCGACAAAGUCCUCACAACGCACUGGAGUCCCAGGGAUGACACAGAUGCCGAUCUAUGUACAUUUCCUUUGGCCCGUUUGAUAUACCAUGGCAGGUCACGGACAUACCAACAUUGAGGGUAACAGGGCUACUUCCCUCCACGAACUGACAAACUGCUGACCAUCGAGACUCUUUAUGUGCCCAGAAAAGCACCUAGUACAUAGUAUGUGAUUAAUAAAUGUUUCUGAAACAAAUGAGUCUGCUAUCAAACCUUGCUGCAGUCACCCACCACUCUGGAACUCCAGGACUGGAAACAAAGUCUACUUAGCUGAAAGAAUCACAAAAUCGUUAACUAAUCUCCUGCCGUGUGUCAUAUCAUAGGACUCCUCAGAUGGACGAGGCAGGAUUGUGGAAUACUAAGAAGUAAAAGACGGGAUAAAAAGACAACCAUGUUUGAUUACCCUCUGCAGUCGAAGGAUUUGAAAGUCAUGACACUGGUUAUUACUACGGUCUUUGGAGAGAUGAACAGAAACUUAAUCUAUCUAAUAAAAUUGCCUCAAGAGAUAAA
Molecule: long non-coding RNA, 640 nt
Organism: Hyaena hyaena (striped hyena)
Lineage: Eukaryota; Metazoa; Chordata; Mammalia; Carnivora; Hyaenidae
Exons: 3
Source: RefSeq, a predicted model, not a curated record